AUGCUACAGCUAAAUAAAUCGAUCGAUAGAUCUCAGAAGUUUAUUUGUCAAUUGUUGUGAGAUUUUCAACUCUGCCGACAGAUUUGCUUACCGAACUUCUUACAUUA
Small nucleolar RNA from Macadamia integrifolia, 107 nucleotides. RefSeq annotates it as small nucleolar RNA snoR109. The transcript has a single exon. The record is from RefSeq and is a predicted model, not a curated record. Lineage: Eukaryota; Viridiplantae; Streptophyta; Magnoliopsida; Proteales; Proteaceae.